AUGAGUAUAAGGAGGCUAAAGCUGUAAGUUAACAUGAUCUCUCACAACUGCUUGUUAAUUAUUGGUAUUUCAAGUGCCCUCUAUUUGUUUCUUUUUUGGGUGGUGGAUUGAUAGUUUCAUUUUAGUUGAUUGUGGAGGAAGUUUCCUUCUUUCAGGGUAUUUAAUUUGAAUUUUCAAGUUAUGCAUGUGAUGAAGUAAGAGUAACACUGAUGCA
Molecule: unclassified non-coding RNA, 214 nt
Filed under: Hevea brasiliensis (rubber tree)
Lineage: Eukaryota; Viridiplantae; Streptophyta; Magnoliopsida; Malpighiales; Euphorbiaceae
Source: RNAcentral